Molecule: transfer RNA, 72 nt
Filed under: Camelus bactrianus (Bactrian camel)
Lineage: Eukaryota; Metazoa; Chordata; Mammalia; Artiodactyla; Camelidae
Also listed under: 1 other name
Rfam family: tRNA
About the family: Transfer RNA (tRNA) molecules are approximately 80 nucleotides in length. Their secondary structure includes four short double-helical elements and three loops (D, anti-codon, and T loops).
Source: Rfam by way of RNAcentral
GUGGGUACAGCUCAGUGGUAAAGUACAUGCUUUGCAUGCAUGAAGUCCUGGGUUCAAACCCCAGGACCUGCA